UAAAACGCCCUUGUAUUCUUUCAUUAACUACUGCUUUGCCCCUGACCUCAGAUCGUGACUUUGCUUCCCUUCUUGGAUCCCUCCUUCGUGCUUUCCUUUUUUUUUCCUUUCACCCCUGGUUCUUGGAAUCUUGGAUCAAACCCUAACUAUUGAUCCAUCUCCUCCACCCCCAUUUUCUCCCUCCACUCUCUUCUUCUUCGAUUUCCGCCCCUCUCUUCCCUUUUCCUCAUCUCUCCUGCAAUUAAUACUCCAUAGACUUGGUGAAGCUUUUCGUGUUCCACAAAAAUGGUGUCUGGUGGAUCGAUAGUGCCGCAUCAACUUCACUUUCCGAAGCUCUCUUGCCUUUCCAUCUUCAUUUUCGCUCUUCUAAUGAUAUCUCCCCUUAAUGGCAUGUACAAGAGAUUACAAGACUGUAACCAUAGUUUGCGGCAGUAUAAUAACAAACUUCAAACGGAGCUUUCUACAGCCAAUGAGACCUUGAAACGCUUUGAGUGAGAAAGAUGCUGUAGUGGGGAAAGUACAGCUCAUUGCAGGAUCAGUUGCCGUCAUCCAUGAUAUCUCCCCUUAAUGACAUGUACAAGAGAUUACAGGACUGUAACCAUAGUUUGCGGCAGUAUAAUAACAAACUUCAAACGGAGCUUUCUACAGCCAAUGAGACCUUGAAACGCGUUGAGUGAGAAAGAUGCUGUAGUCGAAAACCUCAACACCUUGAGGGGGAAAGUACAGUUCAUUGCAGGAUCAGUUGCCGUCAUCCAUGGAUGCUGAUACUCAACCUUCACUGGUAAUAGUAUACUUCGGAGGUAAUGAUUCAAUGGGAACCCACCCGUCAGGUCCAGGCCCUCAGGUGCCACUUCCAGAAUAUGUUGAGAACAUGAGAAAGAUUGGCACUGAUAUUAAGGGUCUUUCAGAUACAACUCGAAUUAUUUUCCUAAGCAGUCAUCCGGUGAAUGAAGACCGUAUUAGGGAAACCAGAAGUAUAUAUCUAUCGGAUCUAAUUCGAACGAAUGAGCAAUGUCAAAAGUAUUCUGAAGCUCUGAUAGAACUGUGCAAGGAAAUGGAUAUGAAAGUGGUUGAUCUUUACACUGCAAUCCAGAGGAAGGAUGACUGGUUGACAACUUGUUUUACUAUCGGAGAGGACAGCGAUAAGGGCUGCAUCUAAAACUCUGAUGGAUACGGAGGCUAUAGAUUCAUUCAAGCAAACACAACACCUGCUAUUAGGAAGGUUGCAAGAUAGCAAUGCAGUGCUUUCACAUGUUGAUCAAUGAAUACUUAGACAAUUGCUAAGCAGAUGUCAUGACUGAGUUUUCAAAAAAUACACGUCUUUUGAAAUCAAAGAAGUGAGUGACCUUGACUACAUAUUUCUCAAGUUGAGAAACAUCAAGUCCAAGAUUUUCGCCACUUAUCCUGAUGCGUUUCCAAAUGAAUCCUUGGAAGUUGUUGACACCAGACCAGACCUUGAGGUACCUGUGUGUGAUAUGAGUUCACAAGAUCAUGCAAGUCCGACAGAAUCCCAUCAACCACCAUCUGUAUAAUAAUACAUCUUUCUGAACAUCAGUUCGAGUUUGUACUUUUAAACCUUGUUGAGCAAGCAACUGAGAACAGGCUUGUUCACCGUGGAAAUAUAUAUUGCUCAGUUCCUCAUGGCAUCAAUGACCACACUCGCUGGUCUAGCUUUGGCUGCAGAAUCGGCUAAACUUGGAUUAAAAGUUGGCUUCUUGGUUUCAUAUAUUGAGUUCCCUUGGCUGGCUGGAAAUCUGCAGCCCAUCCCAAACCAGAAAAUUCAUUGGAGAUCUCUAGAAGGUCUUCCAAACAGUGGUGCUGUUUGAUUUUACCCAAGAGGUACUUCGUCAUGUCUUGUAGAACUUCUAAAGAAUAUUAGAGUGCAGAAUCUUCAGCAUUUGGAAUUAGUGCAGCCUUUUCGUAUGUUAUCAUUUCCUGCUGAUUACGGGAGAUGAAUGUGGCAUGAUGGUCGGACUGCUGUUACUGCAGAUGGGAAGCGCAGUGCUCAGUUAUGAGCAUACUUUACUGAAAAAGAAGUUGACACUAUAAGAGUAUAAGCUCGUAUUAAAGUUUAUCCAGCUCUUAUUCGGUACACCUGAAAACGUGAACUCUUAGGCUUUUCAGAUGGAUGGACUUAUUCCUGUUUAGUGCUGAAGGGUUCCAAAAGGAAAUUAGUUGUUCUGGGUGUGACAGAGAACGUUUGUGUUGGCACUCCUUGUGUGCGAGUUAAAAUAAUGUAACACAUUUAUUUGGUAGGGCAAAGCGGUUGGGUGCUGAUCGAGCUCAAGUGAUGUUGGCAGAUUACACUGGUCCUCAGUACGAAACAGAGACACGAGUGACGGCAUCGAUUGUGAAAUUUUCUUAGUAUCCUAAUCCUGCUGCAUCCUCCAUAUCAAAAAGAAUCAUGGUGGAAGUUAACAGUUGAAUGAUUAAAUCUCUUAAAUGUUUCGAUUUGUUUAGGUUGAAAUGAGUUUGUCUAAUUUUGUGUUUUUCAAGAUUUGUUGAAUUAUUGUAUGUAUAUAAUUUAUUGAUAAUGGUUAGUGUUAAGAGUGAUACAUGUAUGGGUUUCACUUGAUACUACGAUGAAAAAUAGUUUGGUUGAAAUACAACGCAUAAAAUGGUUGUUAAACUAA
Molecule: long non-coding RNA, 2633 nt
Organism: Spinacia oleracea (spinach)
Lineage: Eukaryota; Viridiplantae; Streptophyta; Magnoliopsida; Caryophyllales; Amaranthaceae
Exons: 15
Source: RefSeq, a predicted model, not a curated record